Molecule: ribosomal RNA, 479 nt
Filed under: uncultured organism
Description: partial 16S ribosomal RNA
Rfam family: Bacterial small subunit ribosomal RNA
Source: RNAcentral
GUACACUCCUACGGGAGGCAGCAGUGGGGAAUUUUGGACAAUGGGCGCAAGCCUGAUCCAGCCAUGCCGCGUGCGGGAAGAAGGCCUUCGGGUUGUAAACCGCUUUUGUCAGGGAAGAAAAGGUUCUGGCUAAUACCUGGGACUCAUGACGGUACCUGAAGAAUAAGCACCGGCUAACUACGUGCCAGCAGCCGCGGUAAUACGUAGGGUGCAAGCGUUAAUCGGAAUUACUGGGCGUAAAGCGUGCGCAGGCGGUUAUGCAAGACAGAGGUGAAAUCCCCGGGCUCAACCUGGGAACUGCCUUUGUGACUGCAUGGCUAGAGUACGGUAGAGGGGGAUGGAAUUCCGCGUGUAGCAGUGAAAUGCGUAGAUAUGCGGAGGAACACCGAUGGCGAAGGCAAUCCCCUGGACCUGUACUGACGCUCAUGCACGAAAGCGUGGGGAGCAAACAGGAUUAGAUACCCCUGUAGUCCCAUGAU